UUCCGGUUGAUCCUGCCAGAGGUUACUGCUAUCGAGGUUCGACUAAGCCAUGCGAGUCGAAUGUAGCAAUACAUGGCGUACUGCUCAGUAACACGUGGACAACCUACCCUCCGGUCGGGUAUAAACCCGGGAAACUGGGUAUAAUCCCCGAUAGAGCUCGAAUGCUGGAAUGCAUUGAGCUCGAAAGCUCCGGCGCCGAAAGAUGGGUCUGCGGCCUAUCAGGUAGUAGUGGGUGUAGCGUACCUACUAGCCUACGACGGGUACGGGUUGUGAGAGCAAGAGCCCGGAGAUGGAUUCUGAGACACGAAUCCAGGCCCUACGGGGUGCAGCAAGCGCGAAAACUUUACAAUG
Molecule: ribosomal RNA, 351 nt
Filed under: uncultured archaeon
Lineage: Archaea
Description: bacterial SSU rRNA
Rfam family: Archaeal small subunit ribosomal RNA
Source: RNAcentral